CUCCCCAAGGACGAAGCCAUGCAUGCCCGCUCACCCGGGACGCGGCGGACGGCUCAGGACUCCGGUUGCACCCCCCGCGGCGGUCCCUGCUAGCCGGACACCGCUGGCAACCCGGCGCCAAGAGGUGCGCGCAAGGGCGGGCGCCCGCGGGCGAGCAGCGUGACGCAGCGACGGCCCGCCCGGGCUGCCGGGGCAUCACCCGGUCGGCGCGGUCGCGGCGCGCCGAGGGCCCGAC
This 235-nucleotide ribosomal RNA is filed under the name Giardia duodenalis. RNAcentral describes it as "Giardia intestinalis partial small subunit ribosomal RNA". Lineage: Eukaryota; Fornicata; Diplomonadida; Hexamitidae. The record is from RNAcentral.